Molecule: long non-coding RNA, 880 nt
Organism: Photinus pyralis (common eastern firefly)
Lineage: Eukaryota; Metazoa; Arthropoda; Insecta; Coleoptera; Lampyridae
Exons: 4
Source: RefSeq, a predicted model, not a curated record
ACGUCGUGUCUAUAUAAGCCAAACAUUCAGACAAUCUUAUCUCUUAUGCAGUUCUCUAAAUAGAACAUAUUAAUUAUGAAGUUGUAUUUAUAUUUUUUUAUAGUUACAGUGCUAGCUGUGAAUACAUUGACUGCACUUCCUUAUCCACUUGAAACGAAUUUUUGUAGGGUUCAUGGACUCAAAAUUAGAGAAGGUGAAGCGGUCUCCAUCCCGGGUCACUGCAAAACUGUAAAGUGUCUGAAGGCAUCCACUGGGAAAAUUUCUACUAUGGGAUGCUCCAUGUUUAUAUUCACCCCAGGUUGUAUUGUAUCUGAACUGGAUCUUACGAAAAGUUUCCCCCUCUGCUGUUCAAGAAGCAUUUGCUAGUACGUACUUGCUAUCUUACCUAUGAGAAAUUGAUUUGUGAUCAAGAAUAGUUGUACUGUGAAAUGGAUAAGUAUACCUAUGUGGUAUAGGCGUAUAGGGGGAUAGGUGCCUAUAAUUAGCAUAUAAUUGUACUAUAAGUGAUUACAGGGAUAUACUCUUUGAGUUUUGGAUGCAUAUUUCAAUGCCUAACUUUUUUUAUAAGAAAUUUGUUACACCACAGCAUUAUUUUGUAUAAUUUGAGACAUUAAAGGCGCAAAUAUUGUGUUUAAUAGGUAAAGGUGCCAAAUCUGUUCAUUAAGAUCCACAUUUGUGCCAUCAAUAAUUUGAAGUUGCAGCAUUUUAAGAUUACUCUUAUGCACAGUGUUCAAGAUAUAAUGCAUCGGUAUAUCUCAAUUCCCAGAGUUUGAGCUGUAUCAUUACCUAAUGUCGAAUUAGGUAUAUUCUGGAAGCCAGACGAAAAAGCUGGAAGUAAGAAUCCGAUUGAUGCCACUCUGUCACCCUUGAGCAUUUUGAG